UACGAAGGGGGCUAGCGUUGCUCGGAAUUACUGGGCGUAAAGCGCACGUAGGCGGCUUUCUAAGUCGGGGGUGAAAUCCUGGAGCUCAACUCCAGAACUGCCUUCGAUACUGGAGAGCUUGAGCCCGGGAGAGGUGAGUGGAACUGCGAGUGUAGAGGUGAAAUUCGUAGAUAUUCGCAAGAACACCAGUGGCGAAGGCGGCUCACUGGCCCGGUACUGACGCUGAGGUGCGAAAGCGUGGGGAGCAAACAGG
This 253-nucleotide ribosomal RNA is filed under the name uncultured bacterium. RNAcentral describes it as "partial 16S ribosomal RNA". It matches the Rfam family "Bacterial small subunit ribosomal RNA", at positions 524 to 776 of the family's 1533-position model. The record is from RNAcentral.